CCGGCGCACGGGUGAGUAACACGUAUGCAACCUGGCCUGGUAAAGCGGGGAAUAAACCCGUUGAAAGACGGACUAAUACCGCAUAAUACUAAAUUACUGCAUGGUAAUUUAUUUAAACAUUUAUGGCUUACAGAUGGGCAUGCGCAUGAUUAGCUAGUUGGAGAGGUAACGGCUCCCCAAGGCAACGAUCAUUAGGGGUUCUGAGAGGAAGGUCCCCCCACACUGGUACUGAGACACGGACCAGACUCCUACGGGAGGCAGCAGUGAGGAAUAUUGGUCAAUGGACGAGAGUCUGAACCAGCCAAGUCGCGUGCAGGAAGAAUUGUCCUAUGGAUUGUAAACUGCUUUUGCAGGGGAAUAAAGUGCAUCACGUGUGAUGUUUUGUAUGUACUCUGCGAAUAAGGAUCGGCUAACUCCGUGCCAGCCGCGGC
Molecule: ribosomal RNA, 431 nt
Filed under: uncultured bacterium
Lineage: Bacteria
Description: bacterial SSU rRNA
Rfam family: Bacterial small subunit ribosomal RNA
Source: RNAcentral